GGCAACGACCAUACCACGUUGAAAACACCAGUACUCGUCCGAUCACUGAAGUCAAGCAACGUCGGGCCGUGUUAGUACUUGCAUGGGUGACCGGCUGGGAAUACCCGGUGUUGUUGUCU
This 119-nucleotide ribosomal RNA is filed under the name Xiphophorus couchianus (Monterrey platyfish). Lineage: Eukaryota; Metazoa; Chordata; Actinopteri; Cyprinodontiformes; Poeciliidae. The record is from RNAcentral.